AGUGAACGCUGGCGGUAGGCCUAACACAUGCAAGUCGAACGGCAGCACAGUAAGAGCUUGCUCUUACGGGUGGCGAGUGGCGGACGGGUGAGGAAUACAUCGGAAUCUACUUUUUCGUGGGGGAUAACGUAGGGAAACUUACGCUAAUACCGCAUACGACCUACGGGUGAAAGCAGGGGAUCUUCGGACCUUGCGCGAUUGAAUGAGCCGAUGUCGGAUUAGCUAGUUGGCGGGGUAAAGGCCCACCAGGGCGACGAUCCUUAGCUGGUCUGAGAGGAUGAUCAGCCACACUGGAACUGAGACACGGUCCAGACUCCUACGGGAGGCAGCAGUGGGGAAUAUUGGACAAUGGGCGCAAGCCUGAUCCAGCCAUACCGCGUGGGUGAAGAAGGCCUUCGGGUUGUAAAGCCCUUUUGUUGGGAAAGAAAAGCAGCAGGUUAAUACCCCGCUGUUCUGACGGUACCCAAAGAAUAAGCACCGGCUAACUUCGUG
RNAcentral lists this ribosomal RNA (492 nucleotides) under uncultured bacterium. Its description in RNAcentral is "partial 16S ribosomal RNA". It matches the Rfam family "Bacterial small subunit ribosomal RNA", at positions 29 to 507 of the family's 1533-position model. The record is from RNAcentral.